AAGUUGAUAAAUAACGUUACCGAGGAUGGUGCUGCCAUCUAUCGUCCGGGAUGUCAUGAGAAAUGCAGGACAUAUUGAAAAAAGAAAAGAUUUGCAAGUCUCCUGUUGGCACCACAGAGAUUGUACCCAGUUUUAACAAAGAUAUACGCCUCCUGUCGAUGAUUCACUCUGUAUUAAUGGUUAACUACACUACACUCUGCUCGCUAAAGUGCUUGCAGUUGUAGCUGUAAGGACCUUUUGAAAGCUAAUAAGAGCUCCUGGAGCAAGUUGUGUGCAAGAACAGUGGUGCUGCUGUGAAUAAGCCAUGAAAGUGAGUGACACACAGCUCCAUUUUCAGUGGCAGGUCCUUAACUGCCUGAUUGCCACUGUGAAGCUCAGGAAUUUCCUUACGCUGACUUUCCUGCAUGGCAAAGGCACAGCACUGAUUCCUUCCCUGCUGAACCAGCAAAUCCUUGGGAGACAGACAGGAGGUCUUCUCCUCCCUUAGCAGUACAAAAUGAGCAGCACAGCAGCUCUCUGUAAUGGACCCCGGGGCUCAUGGAGGAGCAGGUAGAAAAGAGCGGACACACACGUCUGAUGAGCCUGAAGAUGUUACACCGUCCACUCUCCACGCAACAUUUGAGUGAAUGUGGUGGAUCACACUUAAGUGAAUUCUGUUGGAGUUAUAAGCUGGAAAAUCCAUCGGCAGCCAGGAGAGGAUGCACGGUGGAGGCAGAGGGCUGUUGUUUGGUAGCAGUAGCUGCAGUGGUUUCCCCCGUGACUUUGAUUAUGUCCCGGUUUGGGCACCAGGCCAAAGGCAGAGCUGGCUUCAUUACUGUAUGGAUCAUCUUUUAAGAUCAUUUAAGAU
Molecule: long non-coding RNA, 847 nt
Filed under: Myripristis murdjan (pinecone soldierfish)
Lineage: Eukaryota; Metazoa; Chordata; Actinopteri; Holocentriformes; Holocentridae
Description: lncRNA (ENSMMDG00005005495.1)
Source: RNAcentral